RNAcentral lists this long non-coding RNA (865 nucleotides) under Anas platyrhynchos platyrhynchos (common mallard). Its description in RNAcentral is "lncRNA (ENSAPLG00000020080.1)". The record is from RNAcentral. Lineage: Eukaryota; Metazoa; Chordata; Aves; Anseriformes; Anatidae.
GGAAUUUCGGGGAGCCCCAUGGGGACCUUGGGGAGGUGACAGCCCCAUGGGGACAUCAUGAAGCCCCAUGGGGACCUGGAGGGACCCCAUAGGGACUUGGUGGGACCCCAUGGGGACCUUGGAGCUCUAUGGGGUCCAUAGGGAUCUGGUGGCAGCCCCAUAGGGACAUGGUGGGACCCCAUGGGGACCUGGGGGUGGUGACAACCCCAUGGGGACAUCGUGGAGCCCCAUAGGAACCUGGUGGGACCCCAUGGGGACCUUGGAGCUCUAUGGGGUCCAUAGGAACCUGGUGGAGCCCCAUAGGGACAUGGUGGGACCCCAUGGGGACCUUGGGGAGGUGGCCGCCCCAUGGGGACCUGGGGGUGGUGACAACCCCAUGGGGACGUGGUGGGACCCCAUAGGAACCUGGUGGGACCCCAUGGACCUUGGAGCUCUAUGGGGUCCAUAGGGAUCUGGUGGCAGCCCCAUGGGGACAUCGUGGAGCCCCAUGGGGACCUGGUGGUACCCCAUAGGGACUUGGUGGGACUCCAUGGGGACCUUGGAGCUCUAUGGGGUCCAUAGGGACUUGGUGGGACCCCAUGGGGACCUCAUGGAGCUCCAUGGGGUCUAUAGGAACCUGGUGGGACCCCAUGGGGAUGUGGUGGGACCCCAUGGGGACCUGGGGGUGGUGGCAGCCCCAUGGGGACCUGGUGGGGACAUGGUGGGGUCCCGGUGGGGGUGUCGCCCCCUGACCCUUUUGGGGUGCCCCCAGGUUCCACAAGCUGGUGAUCGACGACGUGCGCCCCGAGGAUGAGGGCGAUUACACCUUCAUCCCCGACGGAUACGCACUGUCCCUGUCCGCAAAGCUCAACUUCCUCGGUGGGAC